GACGAACGCUGGCGGCGUGCUUAACUCAUGCAAGUCGAACGGUGAAGGGAUCAGCUUGCUGGUUCUGGAUGAGUGGCGAACGGGUGAGUAACACGUGAGUAACCUGCCCCCUUCUUCUGGAUAACCGCAUGAAAGUGUGGCUAAUACGGGAUAUUCUGGGUCUGUCGCAUGAUGGGUCUGGGAAAGAUAUUGUUUCGGUGGGGGAUGGGCUCGCGGCCUAUCAGCUUGUUGGUGGGGUGAUGGCCUACCAAGGCGGUGACGGGUAGCCGGCCUGAGAGGGUGGACGGUCACACUGGGACUGAGACACGGCCCAGACUCCUACGGGAGGCAGCAGUGGGGAAUAUUGCACAAUGGGCGCAAGCCUGAUGCAGCGACGCCGCGUGAGGGAUGGAGGCCUUCGGGUUGUAAACCUCUUUCGCCAGUGAAGCAGGCCUGCUCCUUGUGGGUGGGUUGACGGUAGCUGGAUAAGAAGCGCCGGCUAACUACGUG
This 489-nucleotide ribosomal RNA is filed under the name uncultured bacterium. RNAcentral describes it as "partial 16S ribosomal RNA". It matches the Rfam family "Bacterial small subunit ribosomal RNA", at positions 28 to 507 of the family's 1533-position model. The record is from RNAcentral.